GACGAACGCUGGCGGCGUGCUUAACACAUGCAAGUCGAACGGAAAGGCCCUGCUUUUGUGGGGUGCUCGAGUGGCGAACGGGUGAGUAACACGUGAGUAACCUGCCCUUGACUUUGGGAUAACUUCAGGAAACUGGGGCUAAUACCGGAUAGGAGCUCCUGCUGCAUGGUGGGGGUUGGAAAGUUUCGGCGGUUGGGGAUGGACUCGCGGCUUAUCAGCUUGUUGGUGGGGUAGUGGCAUACCAAGGCUUUGACGGGUAGCCGGCCUGAGAGGGUGACCGGCCACAUUGGGACUGAGAUACGGCCCAGACUCCUACGGGAGGCAGCAGUGGGGAAUAUUGCACAGUGGGCGGAAGCCUGAUGCAGCAACGCCGCGUGCGGGAUGACGGCCUUCGGGUUGUAAACCGCUUUCGCCUGUGACGAAGCGUGAGUGACGGUAAUGGGUAAAGAAGCACCGGCUAACUACGUG
Molecule: ribosomal RNA, 468 nt
Filed under: uncultured bacterium
Lineage: Bacteria
Description: partial 16S ribosomal RNA
Rfam family: Bacterial small subunit ribosomal RNA
Source: RNAcentral